Molecule: ribosomal RNA, 497 nt
Filed under: uncultured bacterium
Lineage: Bacteria
Description: partial 16S ribosomal RNA
Rfam family: Bacterial small subunit ribosomal RNA
Source: RNAcentral
GAUGAACGCUGGCGGCGUGCCUAAUACAUGCAAGUCGAGCGAACGGACGAGAAGCUUGCUUCUCUGAUGUUAGCGGCGGACGGGUGAGUAACACGUGGAUAACCUACCUAUAAGACUGGGAUAACUUCGGGAAACCGGAGCUAAUACCGGAUAAUAUUUUGAACCGCAUGGUUCAAAAGUGAAAGACGGUCUUGCUGUCACUUAUAGAUGGAUCCGCGCUGCAUUAGCUAGUUGGUAAGGUAACGGCUUACCAAGGCAACGAUGCAUAGCCGACCUGAGAGGGUGAUAGGCCACACUGGAACUGAGACACGGUCCAGACUCCGACGGGAGGCAGCAGUAGGGAAGCUUCCGCAAUGGGCGAAAGCCUGACGGAGCAACGCCGCGUGAGUGAUGAAGGUCUUCGGAUCGUAAAACUCUGUUAUUAGGGAAGAACAUAUGUGUAAGUAACUGUGCACAUCUUGACGGUACCUAAUCAGAAAGCCACGGCUAACUACGUG